This is a long non-coding RNA of Rhea pennata, 1043 nucleotides long. RefSeq lists it as uncharacterized. Lineage: Eukaryota; Metazoa; Chordata; Aves; Rheiformes; Rheidae. The record is from RefSeq and is a predicted model, not a curated record. The transcript is spliced from 3 exons.
GGCGCCGCCGGUGCCAGGCGCCGCGGGCCGCCGCGGGCCGCCGCGAGGGAAUGCCGAAUCCAGAGUAACAUGAGGUUAAAACCUGAGGUAAAAAACGUCCAAAUCAUGCUUGCGGGCCAGGGGAGCGGGAGUGACUGCCGCCCAGAGCCGGGGGCUGGCCUGCGCGCCGGCGAGCGCGGUUCUCCUCGCAAAGAGGGGUAAGGUCUUCUUCAGCUCCUGCACUGACAAGUUUUGCACCUGUAAGGCCCUCAGAAGUUCAAAUAAACCUCCUGGAACAGAUUAAGAAAUCUUGAGAAGGAUUUGAAGGUGAGAGGUUUCUGCAGUCUUACAUGUUCUCCCUGCCUGUACAGUUAAAGUCUUGCUGAGAUGAUAAAAAGAAGGGUCCUAAGCAGGUGAUUACAGCAGAAAAACCAAAACACCCAAGAGAUCGAAAUUAACUGUGGUCUGCUAGUAAAGGUGAAUCUGAGAUAUAUCCCAUUUAUUCUUUACUGGAAAUAGCCAGAAGAAUCAUUUUCUGUAUUGACAUUGGAGUUCCCUCACACUUAGAAAUACAUUUUCAGAGAAAGAUUUUUCUGUUCAGGUCUUUGCUGAAAAAAAAUCUAAGAAACUACAUGGAACUGAGUUCAGCUACGAGAAAAAUUACAAUUGCCAUCAGCAUUGCCAAGCCUUGAAGCUGUGACCUUGGGCUGUCUAUUUUUAUCGAGUUUAGCAAGUGGACUUGAGUGAACUACUCAGCUCUCCGAGAGGCGCGGUCUCUAAAGUACUCUACUGCAUUUUGUGUCUUCUCUCUUAGAGAUUCACUUCCUCACUUGCAGCUGCUGUUUGCAGGCACCAGGUCCCCUGACACAAUGCCUCGAGUUCCUCGAAAUGAAAAGAGGGAAAGAAAUUGGAAGCUCGCUUUGAAAACUUGGAACAAUGCAAGAGAGAAAAGAAAAGAAAUUUACAGGCUUGUGUUAAUUUUCUCAGGGUUUUGACAUUUCUAGGAGGGCUUUUGUGCUUGUGUUUAGAGAAGUCUGCUUUAUUAGACAUUGUAGUACAUAAUA